Molecule: long non-coding RNA, 226 nt
Filed under: Elaeis guineensis (African oil palm)
Lineage: Eukaryota; Viridiplantae; Streptophyta; Magnoliopsida; Arecales; Arecaceae
Description: long non-coding RNA (EGUI_LNC026907)
Source: RNAcentral
AAUACAUAUGAAUUGAAUAAGUAGGAAGAAGACAAAAAAUUUCCUACAACCAAAAGAUGAGAGGAAUCUUAUAUAACACUAAAUGGGACCUAAGAGUGCCUAUAUUUAUUAGAAAGACAAUAUAAUAUUGAACCAAGGAAAUAUGUUUUGGUUUUUGCUAUAAUACUAUAUAAAUUCAUUUUGGAAUAGAUUUAUUUUUAAUCUCUUUCUUCAUACACAAUAAUAU